RNAcentral lists this ribosomal RNA (331 nucleotides) under uncultured eukaryote. Its description in RNAcentral is "partial 18S ribosomal RNA". It matches the Rfam family "Eukaryotic small subunit ribosomal RNA", at positions 1470 to 1796 of the family's 1831-position model. The record is from RNAcentral.
CCCUUAGAUGUUCUGGGCUGCACGCGCGCUACACUGAUGCGCUCAACGAGUUUAUGAACUUGCCCGGAAGGGUUGGUUAAUCUUUUUAAAACGCAUCGUGAUGGGGAUAGAUUAUUGCAAUUAUUAAUCUUGAACGAGGAAUACCUAGUAAGUGCGAGUCAUCAGCUUGCGCUGACUUACGUCCCUGCCCCUUGUACACACCGCCCGUCGCUGCCCGGAACUGAGCCGUUUCGAGAAAGCCGGGGACUGACGGCUUGUGGGUGCGCAAGCGCUUCUUGCCGAUGGAAACCAGUUUAAUCGGUAUGGCUUGAACCGGGCAAAAGUCGUAACA